GUUUGAUCCUGGCUCAGAGCGAACGCUGGCGGCGUGGAUUAGACAUGCAAGUCGAGCGCUCCUCCGAUUUAUCGGGGGAUAGCGGCGAACUGGUGAGUAACACAUGGGUAACUUGCCCUCAAGACGGGGAUAACUCCGAGAAAUCGGAGCUAAUACCCGAUAAUUUCUGUAAUCGCAAGGUAGCAGGACAAAAGGUUCUCUGAAUAUUUAGGGUUCUGCUUGAGGAUAGGCCCGCGUCUUAUCAGCUUGUUGGUGAGGUAAUGGCUCACCAAGGCUGUGACGAGUAGCUGGUCUGAGAGGACGAUCAGCCACACGGGGACUGAGACACGGCCCCGACUCCUACGGGAGGCAGCAGUCGAGAAUCUUCCCCAAUGGGCGAAAGCCUGAGGGAGCGACGCCGCGUGGGGGAUGAAGGUCUUCGGAUCGUAAACCCCUGUCAGGGAGGAUGAAAUCCGAUUUAUCGGAAUGACAGUACUCUCAGAGGAAGCCACGGCUAACUCCGUGCCAGCAGCCGCGGUAAUACGGAGGUGGCGAGCGUUGCUCGGAUUUACUGGGCGUAAAGGGUGCGUAGGCGGCCAAAUAAGUCAUUCGUGAAAUCCCCUGGCUCAACCAGGGAAUUGCGGAUGAAACUGUUUGGCUUGAGGCCGAGAUAGGAAGGUAGAAUUCCCGGUGUAGCGGUGAAAUGCGUGGAUAUCGGGAGGAAUACCAGUGGCGAAGGCGGCCUUCUGGCUCGGUUCUGACGCUGAGGCACGAAAGCUGGGGUAGCGAACAGGAUUAGAUACCCUGGUAGUCCCAGCUGUAAACGAUGGGCACUGGGUGUUUCUGGCGUAAUGCUAGGGGUGCCGUAGUUAACGCGUUAAGUGCCCCGCCUGGGGACUACGGUCGCAAGACUGAAACUCAAAGGAAUUGACGGGGGCCCGCACAAGCGGUGGAGCACGUGGUUUAAUUCGAUGCUAACCGAAGAACCUUACCCGGAUUUGACAUACCAGAAGUACUCCGAUGGAAACGUUGGGGGACCGGUAACCAAUCCGGUACUGGUACAGGUGUUGCAUGGCUGUCGUCAGCUCGUGCCGUGAGGUGUUGGGUUAAGUCCCGCAACGAGCGCAACCCCCGCCUUUAGUUGCUAACAGGUGCCGAUUACUCGGGAUGCUGAGCACUCUAGAGGGACUGCCCGGGAUAACCGGGAGGAAGGUGGGGCUGACGUCAAGUCGGUAUGGCCUUUAUGUCCGGGGUGACACACGUGCUACAAUGGCUGGAACAGAGGGAUGCCAACCUGCAAAGGGGAGCUAAUCUCAAAAAUCCAGCCUCAGUUCGGAUCGCAGUCUGCAACUCGACUGCGUGAAGCUGGAAUCGCUAGUAAUCGCCGGUCAGCCAUACGGCGGUGAAUACGUUCCCGGGCCUUGUACACACUGCCCGUCAAGCCAGCUGAAUUGAGUGCACCCGAAGUCGCUGACCCAACCCCGACGUAACGUCGGGGCGGGAGGCGCCGAAGGUGUGCUUGGUAAGGAGGGCUAAGUCGUAACAAGGUAGCCG
This 1533-nucleotide ribosomal RNA is filed under the name uncultured bacterium. RNAcentral's name for it is "16S ribosomal RNA". It matches the Rfam family "Bacterial small subunit ribosomal RNA". The record is from RNAcentral.